This 45-nucleotide non-coding RNA is filed under the name Trichobilharzia regenti. Lineage: Eukaryota; Metazoa; Platyhelminthes; Trematoda; Strigeidida; Schistosomatidae. The record is from RNAcentral.
CACUAGCUGACGAGUCCCAAAUAGGACGAAACACACGUUAUUCUG